This 253-nucleotide ribosomal RNA is filed under the name uncultured bacterium. RNAcentral's name for it is "partial 16S ribosomal RNA". It matches the Rfam family "Bacterial small subunit ribosomal RNA", at positions 524 to 776 of the family's 1533-position model. The record is from RNAcentral.
GACAGAGGAGGCGAGCGUUAUCCGGAGUCAUUGGGCGUAAAGGGUACGUAGGCGGCUAGUCAAGUCUGAGGUUAAAGACCACAGCUCAACUGUGGGAAGGCCUUGGAAACUGACUGGCUAGCGUGGGGCAGGGGUUGCGGGAAUUCCCGGUGUAGCGGUGAACUGCGUAGAUAUCGGGAAGAACACCUGAGGCGAAAUCGCGCAACUGGGCCCUAACUGACGCUGAGGUACGAAAGCUAGGGGAGCGAAUGGG